Molecule: long non-coding RNA, 445 nt
Filed under: Panax ginseng (ginseng)
Lineage: Eukaryota; Viridiplantae; Streptophyta; Magnoliopsida; Apiales; Araliaceae
Description: long non-coding RNA (PGIN_LNC010065)
Source: RNAcentral
AAAAUCUAAUAUUUUGAGUACAUGAUUAAUUGAAUAGAAAGUUUUGCGUUAUAUGUUAAGCGUUUACGAUAAGGCUAGAAUGUAAGAAUAAUUUACGAUAUUGUCGUCAAAACGAAAACGAAACCAAAGGAUAAAAGGACCUGUGAACAAAGCUGGAGGACAAUCAGACCCGACAUCGAAAUUUUUGCGAAUACGGACGCUCAAGCUAUGCAGAACGGAUUACCAGCCGCAAAAAAUCAACCAGAUAAUCGAACGUCGAACGUUAAAGACUUCAAAGCGGUCCUAUCGCUAGGAUUUAGAAAAUCAAAUGACCUUGUAACAACGUUAGUAAUAGCUAGGAUAAUGAAGGGGCAAAAGACAACUUUUGUCGCCUAUAAAAUAAAAGAAGAUAAUUUUGAUAAUACCGGAGAUAAGCCGGGAAUGUGAUUAAAAGGAAACGUUUGUG